This 5602-nucleotide long non-coding RNA is filed under the name Podarcis lilfordi (Lilford's wall lizard). The record is from RNAcentral. Lineage: Eukaryota; Metazoa; Chordata; Lepidosauria; Squamata; Lacertidae.
GGGGCUGGUGGUGUUCUUAGUCCUAAGGUUGCCCCUGGAUCUCCUCCACUCCACAUAAGGAAUAGAUUUCAAAAGCUAUUAAUGCAACAUAGAUGUGCGGUUUGAAUGCCUUAGAUCAGCAUUAGCUCUAGUCUAGUCUGUUAAUCAAUAAAUGAAAACAUUGUGGUUGCUAGAGAAUGCUCCGUGUAAGCUUGAUCAAAUUCUUCUAAACCAAACAAAGCCAAAGCUUUACAUCUUAAAAAUGGAACAUUUUAAAUAUAAGCAGGGGAUUCUGUGGAGGUCCUGCCAAUUGUUUCUUUUCAGGGCUUUGCAUUAUAAAACCCUACCUGUCCUUGCAUAUAAAGUUUGUUUAAGUUGGCGUGAGGAUGUGGCCAUUUCCACUAACACCCCCCUCCUCUUCCACCCCCCCCCCAACUGCACGCUCUCUUCUCAAUAUGGGACCUAAGGCCUGCUAGCCUUGUUUUGCUUGUUUUUUACUGUGGCAUGCAUUUUUGUGUUAUUAUAUUGUAAACCACCCUUCGGAUGAAAUGAGGUAUAGAAAUUUAUUUAAUAAUAAUAAGAUGCAGAGACAGAGUCCAUUUGGGACUCCUUUCUAGCUGUACUGCUCUACGCAGCUACCUCAGUUAUGUAGGUGCUGAAAACAGUGGCACCAGACUAUAGAAAUUCUGUGUUUUACCCUGACUUCUAGCAUCCUGGUAUAGAUGAGGUAUUCAGUGACUGAACCUUGCCAAAUUUUUCCUUCUUUCCACCCAUUAGCCCAUUAGCUACCCUAGCAGGGUUGGUUUCGCAACUGCUCGACAAGGGAUGUCACUAGAUAGACCAAUGACAGAAGCUCACUUCAUGCACAAAAUGAAAAUGUGGAUACUAAACUACCAUAUGGUGUACAUUUAGCCCCCCCACCAGGCUCACAUGGCUUCUCCCGGCCACUCAAGUGUUGAGGGAUAACCUCUGAAGUUGGGGGCCUUUUCUAUUUCUAUAGACUCUCUGUGCAAUCAUAGAAUUGUAGAAAUCUUUCAGGAUUCCAAAUGGUGCAGGGAGCCCCUUUGAAGAGAAAAGGCUCACUGCUUCAGAAGUUAUCCUUCAACAUGCAAGAGGCCAGGGGGGACGGGACGGGACAUGACCUCACAGUCGCCCCUCCAGACCUUUAGGAUCUGUAUUGUACACUUGCAUGUGAAAGGGGCCUCUGUUAUUAGUCUGCAUGGUUAUGGUCCCUGUGCGAAGAAGGCGAGAGGGCAAUUCGACACUUGUUUCAAUCAUUCAGUCAGCCCUCAGCAUCAGUGUGGCAGUCACAGUGAUGGAGAUCAACACAGUCCCCACCACCACAAUUUCUGUGUGGUUUUCUGAAAGCAUUAUAAAGUAAACUAGAUUUGUCAUAACAAGCUUUCCCCUGUCAAACAGCACAUUUUCUCAGAGCUAAACUAUGUGGACAGCAUCGUAUACAGAUAAAAGGGAUUUUUUUUAUGUUAUGUGUGUGUGUUUUAAAUUAACACUCCACUUCAACCCAGUUGAAUUGGCAGGAUUGGGGGGCAGAUUAACAGAAAGGCCCCCCGAAGCACAGCAUAGCUAGUGUACCACAUUUUUAAAUGAAAUAAGUAAUAGUAUUUCCAUCCAAGAGCGUCUCCAUCACCUGAAGAACAGGACGUCCAGAGCCCAAAGAGUCAAAAUAAGCCCUAUUGGGCUCUCACAGGAAUUGAAAUUGAAAUACUUUAUUGUCACUUGUACAACUUGUGUAAAGAGAGAUUAGACGAGCACCCCCCACUCAGCUCUCUUAGCCUUAAUUCCCCUCGUUUACUGACGCACACCCACCAAACCCAAAAGUCAAUUGCCCUGUUGUUAUCUUUUCAUUCAGCAGCCUAACAGCCCACGGAUAGAAGCUGUUCUUUACCCUGUUGGUGCGACUAAUCAUGCUUCUAUAUCUUCUGCCCGAGGGCAGGAGAUCAAGAAAGUGCAGGCCAGGGUGCGAAUCAUCCCUGAGAAUUUUCCUCAUCUCCUGAGGCAACGUUCUUCCGCUAUUUCAUCCAGCAGAUUCACGGGACAGCCCAUAAUAUCUUGUGCUGUAUUCACCACUCUCUGUAGGCACUUCCUAUCAGUUGAUGUCAAACCAGCGCACCACACCGUGAUGCAGUAUGAAAGAACAAUUUCUAUUGUAGACCGGUAGAAGGAGAUCAUCAAAUGUUGAUUGACAUCGUUCUUUCGCAAUACUCUGAGGAGAUGGAGUCUCUGUUGGGCUUUCUUAACCACCUGAGUUGUAUUUAUUUUCCAAGUAAGGUCUUCACGGAGAUAAACUCCUAGGAAUUUAAAGGAAGAGACUCUUCACAAUGAAUUCACAAUGAACAUAUAAGUGACAGAAGAAAACCCAAAUGCUGUCAACCUCAAAGAAUAAAACAAACAAAACAAACCCCACCAGCCUCAUAUACCUUAGAACUAGGGAUAGGGAAGAAAUUUUAUUCCGCUUGCAUCUGAAUGUGAACCCCAUCUAAUUUGCAACCUGCGAACCAAACCACAGCCCCCCUUUGAAAUUUGUUCUUCUCUGAAUUUUGCAAUGCCACCCACCAGCCAGCUAACAGGUACAAAAAUGUGCAUACUAGGGUAAAGCGUGCAUAGAAAUGAGUACUGAAGGGAAAAUAACAUACACAAAUGCAUUUUAUUAGGGGACACUGUUUUGUAACACCCCCCCAAAAAAACCCUGUACAUUAGGCAUAAGAGUAUAUGAAAAUGUGUGUGUGAGGGGAAAUUGGCACUAAAAUACUGGUGAAUUUUCAUGAGGGGUUAAUUUUAUUUUGCAAACGGAUGUGGAGAACUGAACUUAAUAUUGGAAACAUUAGAAACUGAAAUUCUUAGAAUCAUAGAAUUGUAGAAUUGGAAGGGACCUCAAGGGCUGUUCAGACCAACCUCCUGCUAUGCAGGAAAGUCAAGUAAAGCAUCCAUGACAGAUGACCACCCAACCUCUGCUUAGAUACUUCCAAGGAAGGAGAGUCCACCACCUCUUGUGGGAAUCUGUCCCACUGUCAAACAUCUCUUACUGUCAGAAAGUUCUUCCUGAUGUUUAGUCAGAAUCUCCUUUCUUAUAACCCGUCCACUUCAAAGCACUGUGAUACCAGGAUGGUAAUGCAAAUUAAAACAAACCAAUACGAUUAUAAACAGAAAAAUACAGGGAGCAGAUAAAAAUUGCAGCAAGAGCAUCAAUGGUAAUAAUAAAUCAGAAUCCAGCCACUUGUGUCAUUAGACAGGCCCUUGUCAUUUGCCUACAACCACCCAUCACACAAAUCUUUGUGAUUUGCUAUUCUUCUUCCUUUUUUGCUUUCAGCUUCUGAUUCUUUCCUUUCCAUGAUGAUGUUUAUUCUGCAGCUCCUCUAAGCAGAUCUCCACCCCCCCCCUUUUUUUGCCUUGGCAUUUGCCAUAUCCAUCUGUGGCUGGCAAGCCUUUAUUGAAUAUUUUAAUUUCCAUUCCGCCCUCCCCACCUUUCCCCUCUAAUCCCAGCAUGCUUAACUGAUUACAGCUAGGAUUCUCGCUGCUUCUAAGAUUUUUGUUUGGCAUAAGGUGUAGCAGAGCAGAACUGACUUCCUGGCAUGGUUUCACAUGCUGCCUAUCGGCUGGCUCUCAUAUCUGUAGGCUCCCUGUUAAUGAAUCUGAAUAGCUUCCUAUGCCAGUAGACACGCUUAUUAAAACUGAGAUUACUUAGAGGUGAUUUGCCAAAGGGACAGAGGGAUUUAAUCCCUCUCACACACCCCUCCCCAUCAGGUUAUAUUUUAAAGCAGGCCUGGAUGAAUUGUGACCCAGCAAAUUUAACACAGCCCACCGGGUAUAUAUGAUUGCAGCUUGCCAAGAGUAUUUAACAGCCAUCCUGGUUUUACUGUCCCAGAACUGGAGGCAGGAAGGCAGCCAAAAUUGGAGGGCCAUUGAACCCAGACCUACCAGUGGGUUUGGGAGGCAUUUCCUCCACCCCCCCCUUUGACUAAAUUGAAAUCUGAAGCGUUUUUUUCCUGGGGCAGGGGGGGUGUUUUCCUGGGGCAGGGGGGUGAAAUGUGAGAAUUUCAAAGGAAGCACACAGAAUUUUUUUGUCCACUGAGUGUGAACUUGCAAUUGAAAUGGACUUUGCGGAGACAAUUCAUGAUUUUUCGGGGGGGGGGGGGAGCCAGAAAAAUAAAGUUUUAAAGCUCUAUUUUAUUUUAUUUAGAAAUGUUUGCAGCUGUGUUGAUCCAUUAUAAUGAGAAGAAUCAAAACACUGACAGAUGAGGACCGACCGUAAAGUUGUAAAAUAGUCAGCAAGCUUUAAACAAAAGUAGCCAAAAGCAGUGUGGUAGAAAAGCCACCGUGUGGACCUUGGUGUAAUUUUAGAAAUGAAAUUUUAGAAUUAAAAUAGAAACUUUCCUUUCAUAACUUGUGUUAGCAUAUGUAAGGGACAGAAUCAUGGCAUGCUUGUUGGAGGGGGAACAUGUUACCAGUUUGUACUCCAUGUGGCCCCCCCCCAUGCAAAAAAAAAAAAAAAAGGAUACUUGGGGCCUGCAUCAUUUACCGUAUUUUUUGCUCUAUAAGAUGUACUUUUUCCCUCCUAAAAAGUAAGGGAAAAUGUGUGUGCAUCUUAUGCUGUUCUGGCUUCAGGGAUAGCUGCGCAAAGCCUCUUCAACAACAUUUGAUUCAGAAUAUUUUUCUUCUUCUUUUCCUCCUCUAAAAACUAGGUGCAUCUUAUGGUCUGGUACGUCUUGCAGAGCGAAAAAUACGGUAGGUCUUGCUAGACCCACAACAUAGCUGGGUUGUGCUUGGCUUGGUGGGUUGGGUGUUGUGCAAGCAUAUAUUUUUUAUAAUCCUUUUAUUUCAAAGCCUGUUUUCACGACUCUCACAAUGGCUUCAGCAGCCUACUUACGGCAGUUGAUAGUCGCCUAUUGUGGUUCUGGUGGUAGAUGGAUGCAUGCCUGGUGGUUCACUGGAAUCAAUGCCCAUGAGGUAAAUUCUGGUCCGAACCUGAGUCCAUUACUGAUUGCCAAAUGCUAAGCUUGCUCCAUAAUUGUUAUGGGAGACAUAAAACCCUAAAUCAGAUGAGCAGAAAGUUGUGAAAGAUACAUUGGACAUGAUAAUAUUUGGCUUAAUCUUAUGUUUUUGCUAAAGGGAAGGGAGUGACGUUUUCAAGGCUCCAAUUAUAAGGAAAACUACUUGGAACUAAAUGAGAUUUACAUCUGAGUGAGCCUGAUUAAGAUCACCCUACAGUAGUUUUAAACAAAUUUUCUGUAUUUGCCAGCAUGUUUUAUGAUAUAGUGUUGCUGCCUUUGUAAUCUGCCCUAUGGCAAUAGCGUAAGACAGUGGGAUAUCCUAUGAAACAUAGAACUGGGGUUAAUAGCUGCUUAGCCUUAAACACAUUUGGUAGGGCUUUUGUUUUGUUUUUAGGUAACAAGCCUCGUCCCCCAACCUUGUCUAUCCAUUUCUUAUGUGUAAAACAGGAACUGUCACGAUAUCGCUCACUGGAUUUUUGUUGGGAUGUGAACUGGGUAAGGGACAGAGCAAACCUUAUACUCUGAAAGUGUGUAUGGAAAUUGUUUUGAUUAAUUGUAGCAUGACUGCUAAGUAAAUGUGUUUUUGACACGGUCAAAAUUAGACCCAGAUUGGC